This 69-nucleotide transfer RNA is filed under the name Plectrocnemia sp. 1 YW-2021a. RNAcentral's name for it is "tRNA-Leu". The record is from RNAcentral. Lineage: Eukaryota; Metazoa; Arthropoda; Insecta; Trichoptera; Polycentropodidae.
GCUAUUUUGACAGAUUAAUUGUAUUAAUUUUAGAAAUUAAUUUAUAAUAUAUAAGUAUAUUAUUUAGCA